Non-coding RNA from Pelobates cultripes (western spadefoot toad), 348 nucleotides. The record is from the annotation of a GenBank genome assembly. Lineage: Eukaryota; Metazoa; Chordata; Amphibia; Anura; Pelobatidae.
CUUGCUUCCUUGAGCUUCUGGCAAAGAUAUCUCUAAUGAGACAGAGAGGGGUAUUUUUUAUAUACAUCCCUACAUACUUAUUAACCCUUAAUAGGGAACACAUGGGAUGGGCAGCAGCAUUGUAACAUAGCUGUGUGAUACAAAAAAGUCAGUGUAGGAACCCACCUGAGGGGGUCUGCCUUGACGUUGGCAGACGGGCAUUCCCUCCAAUGGCCAUUGGAGUAACUAAAUGACCUCCAUUUGUUUAAAUAUACAUAGGGAUUUAGGAGAGAGUGCAGGUAACUUUUUCUUUGGUUUUUACUGUAUGUAUUGGGGCUGAUGUGUAAUGUGGUCGUUGCUGCCCCCAGG